RNAcentral lists this small nuclear RNA (161 nucleotides) under Mus pahari (shrew mouse). RNAcentral describes it as "snRNA (MGP_PahariEiJ_G0033382.1)". The stretch from base 1 to 129 matches the Rfam family "U4 spliceosomal RNA". Rfam says of the family: U4 small nuclear RNA (U4 snRNA) is a component of the major U2-dependent spliceosome. The structure of U4 snRNA from yeast and human has been reported. The record is from RNAcentral. Lineage: Eukaryota; Metazoa; Chordata; Mammalia; Rodentia; Muridae.
AGCUUUGUGCAGUGGCAGUAUCAUAGCCAAUGAGAUUCAUCCAAGGCACGAUUAUUGCUAACUGAAAACUCCCCUCGCCCCCUCCCAAAAAAAAAACCCUUCAGAAAACAAGCGAACAUUUCUUUGAAACCUACAACUUUAUCACCUUAGUCUUUUGUAGG